UAUCUGGGGGAUAGCCUUUCGAAAGGAAGAUUAAUACCCCAUAAUAUAAUGAUUGGCAUCAAUUAUUAUUGAAAACUCCGGUGGAUAGAGAUGGGCACGCGCAAGAUUAGAUAGUUGGUGAGGUAACGGCUCACCAAGUCUGUGAUCUUUAGGGGUCCUGAGAGGGAGAUCCCCCACACUGGUACUGAGACACGGACCAGACUCCUACCGGAGGCAGCAAUGAGGAAUAUUGGACAAUGGGUGAGAGCCUGAUCCAGCCAUCCCGCGUGAAGGAUGACGGUCCUAUGGAUUGUAAACUUCUUUUGUACAGGGAUAAACCUACUCUCGUGAGGGUAGCUGAAGGUACUGUACGAAUAAUCACCGGCUAACUCCGUGCCAGCAGCCGCGGUAAUACAGAGGGUGCAAGCGUUAUCCGGAUUUAUUGGGUUUAAAGGGUCCGUAAGCGGACCCGUAAGUCAGUGGUGAAAUCUCAUAACUCAACUAUGAAACUGCCAUUGAUACUGCGGGUCUUGAAUAAAUUUGAAGUGGCUGGAAUAAGUAGUGUAACGGUGAAAUGCAUAGAUAUUACUUAGAACACCAAUUGCGAAGGCAGGUCACUAAGAUUUAACUGACGCUGAUGGACGAAAGCGUGGGUAGCGAACAGGAUUAGAU
RNAcentral lists this ribosomal RNA (651 nucleotides) under Flavobacteriaceae bacterium. RNAcentral's name for it is "bacterial SSU rRNA". It matches the Rfam family "Bacterial small subunit ribosomal RNA", at positions 133 to 783 of the family's 1533-position model. The record is from RNAcentral. Lineage: Bacteria; Pseudomonadati; Bacteroidota; Flavobacteriia; Flavobacteriales; Flavobacteriaceae.